UAACAACGGGACUCACUGCUCGAAGAUGUGACGUUCGGCUCAGCUGCACUUGGAGGUUAUGAUGCAUCACUCGAUUUUUACGGAUGAUUCAAAGCCAGAAGUCAAACGCUGCACAACUUGCUGCACACUUUUCCACUGCCCCCUAUGCCCAACUUUCAAACCAACCAUCAACACGAAGCUUCAGUGCCACCUGGAAUCCCACAUAAAACAUUCCAUUACAUUUAAAGACAAAAAGAUAUGCAGGUGCAACCUCAGCUGCAGGGAUGGGGGACAUUAUCAUUGCCCCCUUUGUGGCAAAACGAUCAUCAGGAAGUCGGUUAUGGAUCUACACCUGAAGUCCUGCACAAACACGCAAGACAGUCCCUCCACCUCCGCUGCCGUCCAUACAUCCAAUCAAAACCCCAUCACAGUCAAGACAGCCACCACCUCUCCAGCUCCGACUGCUCCUUCUCCCCAAGCUUCAACUGUUGUGUCUUCCUCUGCCGUCUCUGCUGCCCAGAGUAAAAGUA
Gadus morhua (Atlantic cod) is the source of this 509-nucleotide long non-coding RNA. RefSeq lists it as uncharacterized. The record is from RefSeq and is a predicted model, not a curated record. NCBI's taxonomy places the organism in Eukaryota, Metazoa, Chordata, Actinopteri, Gadiformes, Gadidae. The transcript has 3 exons.